ACCAUGUUGUUUGGUGCUGGUGGUGGGUGGGGGGAAGGGGCUCCCUUAGGCCAUGUUUGGUUAUGGAGUUACCGGCCGGGAUGGAGCCCAGAACCCCAUGGAUCGCUCCCGCCUGGAAAUUAUCCCUGUCCAUCAGAAAUGCGCGUUCGGUUAAGCCCGACAUGGGCUACUUCCCGGCCUUUCCUCGUCACCCAGGCCUUGGAACUAGGCCCGGUCGCUGCGGGGUGGGAAAUAUCCCGGAGGCACGCAGGCAAUAGGCCGCUCAUGGAUUAGGGCAACAGCCACAAAGGGCACGCCGCAUACGCGUGACAACUGUGGCACGGAGACCGGAUUCCUCACGCCUGCUGGCGUCGAUCUCCUCCGGAGGCUGCUUCUCACCGACUGUUGAUCCAUAUAUUUCAGAUGAGAGAGUAGGAUUAGCUGAGCCUGCAGAAGAAAUACAGACUGUGCCCUCCUCAUGGGAAAAAACUAGACUAUUUAAUAUGCUUUCUAUGCUCACGCCAUUGAGCACAACAUACAAUUUGAACUUGUUUGAACUUGUUGCUUUGAGUUGCUUGUACUGACUUGCCUCUGAAAAAACUUUGCUUUGGUCCGAAGAACACUGAAAAAACUAUGCUUUGGUCUGCUCUGAAUCUAGAUGAUAAUUUCUUCGAUUCUAA
Long non-coding RNA from Zea mays, 659 nucleotides. RefSeq lists it as uncharacterized. The transcript has 2 exons. NCBI's taxonomy places the organism in Eukaryota, Viridiplantae, Streptophyta, Magnoliopsida, Poales, Poaceae. The record is from RefSeq and is a predicted model, not a curated record.